This is a long non-coding RNA of Mauremys reevesii (Reeves's turtle), 1030 nucleotides long. RefSeq lists it as uncharacterized. The transcript has 4 exons. The record is from RefSeq and is a predicted model, not a curated record. NCBI's taxonomy places the organism in Eukaryota, Metazoa, Chordata, Testudines, Geoemydidae.
CUGGAAUGGGGAUUUUUUCUAUUAGAGCCCUUGUGGAGCAGUCUGCGUCUGGAGGGGUUUGUGUUCUCUCCCCGCAAGGGUAUAAAACAAGAGGAUUGCACAGUUCAAGGACCCAGAGGUGGCGUGAUGCAGGGCUGUCUGGCUGAGUCUGCAGGCAGCCUGAGACACUAGCUCUAAGAGACAGGUGGAAAGAAGAAAAUCCUGAGAUUUUACAGACCAGUUCAAUGUGGGUCCCCACACAGCAAGCACUGACCGUGGGACCCAACGGGCAAACAGUUUCUAUGCAGUACAGGAACAGUGGUGCUGUCAGCUGCAUAGCUGAAUCUUGAUGACGCCUGCGUUCCCACGCACUGCCUGCCAGUUCAUGACCGCAGUUUCUGUCCAAUCAGAGCAGAGAACACACAGUGUCCUAUGCUCCUAGAGGGUUUGCCCUUUUGACAGGGCUGGAGACUGGCUCCCUUGCGUUAGCCCUGGAGCAGGUACAGCACAGGGCAGCAGCCCUGCCCUUCCCCACAGCUCUGCCAAGGCACCUACCGAUGGCCUGCAUACUCCCCCCCACCAUUUCAGUCCUGCCAAUACACCUGGCCUCCCCAUGCUGCUCCAGUCCCCACAUACCUCUGCAGAUGCACCUCACUCCUGACCUGCAGGAUCCCCCUGCUGUUCCACUCCGGGCUCCCCUAAGAACCUAUCAGCCUGACCCUGCAGUGAUUCCAUGCUACACAAAUAACCCCAGCUGAGGCCACUGCACUCGUUUCACUUGUGGCCUGAAGCCAAAUACAAUCUUCAAUGUCUCCAGUGGUUACACCCACCUCCUCCUCCAGUGUCCAAGGGGCUAAUCAGAAACAGCAAUGGAUGAAGGGAUGCUCCCCUGUCCUCUCCCCCAUAGAUCCCACGGGUACAUGGGGUGUGGGACAGGGAAGGGAAGCUCACAGCACAGCCGUUAACAGUCUGGUUUGGCUGGGACAGUUCUGGGUUUUGAAAACCCAGCUUCGUCCUGCUGUUCCAGCCAGUGUUCUGGGACCGUGGGGCA